This 376-nucleotide ribosomal RNA is filed under the name uncultured bacterium. Its description in RNAcentral is "bacterial SSU rRNA". It matches the Rfam family "Bacterial small subunit ribosomal RNA", at positions 524 to 898 of the family's 1533-position model. The record is from RNAcentral.
UACAGAGGGUGCAAGCGUUGUCCGGAAUUACUGGGCGUAAAGGGCGCGUAGGCGGCCUGAUAAGUAGGGGGUGAAAUCCCGCGGCUCAACCGCGGGGCUGCCUUCUAGACUGUCAGGCUUGAGCACGGUAGAGGCGAAUGGAAUUCCCGGUGUAGCGGUGGAAUGCGUAGAGAUCGGGAAGAACACCAGUGGCGAAGGCGGUUCGCUGGGCCGUUGCUGACGCUGAGGCGCGACAGCGUGGGGAGCAAACAGGAUUAGAUACCCUGGUAGUCCACGCCGUAAACGAUGGGCACUAGGCGUCGGGGGGAGCGACCCUCCCGGUGCCGUCGCUAACGCUAUAAGUGCCCCGCCUGGGGAGUACGGCCGCAAGGCUGAA